AUUGAACUUAAGAGUUUGAUCCUGGCUCAGAUUGAACGCUGGCGGCAUGCUUUACACAUGCAAGUCGAACGGCAGCACGGGUGCUUGCACUUGGUGGCGAGUGGCGAACGGGUGAGUAAUACAUCGGAACGUGUCCUGAAGUGGGGGAUAACGCAUCGAAAGAUGUGCUAAUACCGCAUAAUCUCUGAGGAGGAAAGUAGGGGAUCGAAAGACCUUAUGCUUUUGGAGCGGCCGAUGUCUGAUUAGCUAGUUGGUGGGGUAAUGG
This 265-nucleotide ribosomal RNA is filed under the name Nitrosomonas sp. RNAcentral's name for it is "partial 16S ribosomal RNA". It matches the Rfam family "Bacterial small subunit ribosomal RNA", at positions 1 to 263 of the family's 1533-position model. The record is from RNAcentral. Lineage: Bacteria; Pseudomonadati; Pseudomonadota; Betaproteobacteria; Nitrosomonadales; Nitrosomonadaceae.